UUAACCUUUAAUCACACGUUAAGUCCAAAUGUCGGGUUUGCUGUAAAUAUACUCGUCCCUGUCAGGGCAAGUUCUUCUUGGUCCAACAUAUUGAACCUGAAGACACACGUUUGAAGGUGUGUGUUCUAAGUCUACUCUACAAAAAUCAAAGAUUCGAGUCGACAGAGAGGCUGGUGUGCUGUAAAUAGACUGGCCAGUCCCUCGUGCUCCAACCUGUUAAACCUGAAGACACACCCGCUCUGUUCACGCAAGCCGAGGGUGACACAAGGACUGACUUUUGUUCUUAACAGCGUGUGAGUUUCUGCAAGUGUGAAGGUGUGCGUUCACUUCUCUCCUCUGGAUAUAUAAGUCUACUCUACAAAAAGUAAAGAUUCAAGUCGACUCUGAAAGCAAAAGUUUGGAUCAAUCCAUCUGAAAGUCCACCGGGCCAAUUGUCAAAGAAGCCAAGAAGCGUCGGUCAUCUAUCAUGGGAAGAGGGGAGAGCGACUGGGAUGAGAAGCACGGGGACACGGUGCAGGCUCAGCCCCGAAAACAAGAGGAGAAGAAGAGUUCAAGCUCGGGGAGCAAAUGUCCCAAGUGCUGCCUGCAGACACGGAACUGUCUGAUGAGCGCUGAGUGCGGCAGGUGCCUUCAGAUCUCCAGCGUCGUGGCCUGGUGUGGAAUGUGCAUCCGCCUGUUUGUGUAACGUAAACGUCAACAUCCGGAACAGUUUUUGGAAGAUGGGUUGAAUCUCAGCGCCGGCCAGCUGCUUUACCGAGAUUCAGAGAUGAAAAUAUCCCCAGUCUAUUUCAUAUACUCGCUUUACAUAUCUCAAUCCAGGAGUUUUUUAUUUAACAUUGAACAAUUUAGUAUUUGUGUAUAAAACAAACUAAAUCAUUUGAAUGAAUGAAUUGAUUGUGAUUGUAUGUAUUUACUGUGUGCUUGAUCAAUAUUGUCUGUCCAAAAUGUAAUAAUUGGAUCCUAUUAUAGACAAUCGAGAGAAAUUGUCAUGGUUGUCAGCAUAACGAUUAGUUAUAACCAAUGAUCCCCCCCCCAUAGUGAGUCCACAUUACUGAGAUAUAUUACAAGAAUGAACUGGAGAAUGACCCCAGAACCCAAUCGGUCCAUCCAAAUCUGUCUCUGUCUGGCACGGAGGAUUAUGAACAAGUGGACCUGACAACAAAAAAAAUGUAUGAAUGAAUGAAAAACACGUAAUAAAGUU
Long non-coding RNA from Pungitius pungitius (ninespine stickleback), 1201 nucleotides. RefSeq lists it as uncharacterized. The transcript has 3 exons. Lineage: Eukaryota; Metazoa; Chordata; Actinopteri; Perciformes; Gasterosteidae. The record is from RefSeq and is a predicted model, not a curated record.